This 102-nucleotide microRNA precursor is filed under the name Marmota monax (woodchuck). The record is from RNAcentral. Lineage: Eukaryota; Metazoa; Chordata; Mammalia; Rodentia; Sciuridae.
AGUGAAAUUGCAGGUUCAUAUAAUGACUGUGUGUUUAUCUUUUGAGGGACUGCCAAACUGUUUUCCAAAGUGGCUGCACCAUUUUAAAUUGAUACUAGCAAU